UCGGGUAUGGUGUAGCGGUAACAUCGGUGACUCUCAUGAUUGGGUUCCUCACCAGCCCGGGGUUCGACUCCCCGUAUCCGAG
Non-coding RNA from Rhypophila decipiens, 82 nucleotides. The record is from the annotation of a GenBank genome assembly. Lineage: Eukaryota; Fungi; Ascomycota; Sordariomycetes; Sordariales; Naviculisporaceae.